GACGAACGCUGGCGGCGUGCCUAAUACAUGCAAGUCGAACGCUUCUUUCCUCACGAGUGCUUGCACUCAAUUGGAAAGAGGAGUGGCGGACGGGUGAGUAACACGUGGGUAACCUACCCAUCAGAGGGGGAUAACACCUGGAAACAGGUGCUAAUACCGCAUAACAGUUUAUGCCGCAUGGCAUAAGAGUGUACGGCGCUUUCGGGUGUCGCUGAUGGUUGGAUCCGCGGUGCAUUAGCUAGUUGGUGAGGUAACGGCUCACCAAGGCCACGAUGCAUAGCCGACCUGAGAGGGUGAUCGGCCACACUGGAACUGAGACACGGCCCAGACUCCUACGGGAGGCAGCAGUAGGGAAUCUUCGGCAAUGGACGAAAGUCUGACCGAGCAACGCCGCGUGAGUGAAGAAGGUUUUCGGAUCGUAAAACUCUGUUGUUAGGGAAGAACAAGGACGUUAGUAACUGAACGUGCCCUGACGGUAUCUAACCAGAAAGCCACGGCUAACUACGUG
Molecule: ribosomal RNA, 508 nt
Filed under: uncultured bacterium
Lineage: Bacteria
Description: partial 16S ribosomal RNA
Rfam family: Bacterial small subunit ribosomal RNA
Source: RNAcentral